CAGCCGCCACGGUAAUACGAACCGUGCGAACGUUAUUCGGAAUCACUGGGCUUAAAGCGCGUGUAGGCGGGCCGCCACGUCGGCUGCUGAAAUCCCCCGGCUCAACCGGGGAAGUGGCACCGAUACGAGCGGCCUCGAGGGGGGUAGGGGGGACUGGAACUUCCGGUGGAGCGGUGAAAUGCGUUGAGAUCGGAAGGAACGCCCGUGGCGAAAGCGAGUCCCUGGACCCUUUCUGACGCUGAGACGCGAAAGCCAGGGGAGCGAACGGGAUUAGAUACCCCCGUAGUCCCUGUCUCUUAUA
RNAcentral lists this ribosomal RNA (301 nucleotides) under uncultured bacterium. RNAcentral describes it as "partial 16S ribosomal RNA". It matches the Rfam family "Bacterial small subunit ribosomal RNA", at positions 509 to 807 of the family's 1533-position model. The record is from RNAcentral.